This 1244-nucleotide long non-coding RNA is filed under the name Salvator merianae (Argentine black and white tegu). RNAcentral's name for it is "lncRNA (ENSSMRG00000000598.1)". Lineage: Eukaryota; Metazoa; Chordata; Lepidosauria; Squamata; Teiidae. The record is from RNAcentral.
AACCGAACCAAACCAAACCAAACCAGAAAAGCAUGUCCCUGUAGAUCUCUAGGCAGAUUUGAUGUUCGUGGCUCACGGAGGAAGGGUAAGUCAUAAAAAGGACUGGAGGAAAGAAAUCAAAGCCACACCACAUCAAGCAGGGAUUAAUCCAAAGCCAGAUUGCUUUGUUUGGAAUGAGUGGGAAACCCAUGCCAGCUGGUCACUGCUGCUGAGCCUCACAGGACGUAAUAGAUUGGCAGGAUAGAAUAGAUUAUACUGUGAACAUAAGAACGUAAGAGGAGCCUUGCUGGAUGAGGCCAUAGCCCAUCUAGUCCAGCAUCCUGUCUCACACAGUGGUCCACCAAUGGCUUCUGGGCAUCUCAAGCAGAAGACAAAGGUUGGAGACCAAAGUCCUGGUAUUCAAACAUCGUGUAAAAAUGCUUGUAACAAGUGCUUUGGGGGGUCUGGAAUGGAUUAAUCCAAUUAACAUUCCUUCCUAUGAGGAAAACUGAUACAGUAUAUGAACAAAUUGGUUUGCGAACUGUCUUCUGGAAGAAAUCGUUUGCGAACCAAGGUUCCACUGUAUUGUACUAACUGUGUUACAUGGAGAUAAAAUGCAUUUGUAAUUAGUGUAAGUUCAUAAAUGACCUUGUUUUCUUUCAUUUACAUCCCACCUUUCUGUCCUUGUAGCUUCAUGGUCUCUGUGCCUUUUUUUUUUUUGCCUUUCAUCACAAAACUCAGCAUGACAUAUUGGCAAUUUCCAGUCCAUCUUCCAUCCAAGGCUUGCAAGAUCAGAUGUGAUCAGAUUUAGAAGAAGUUACAUUUUUCUUGUCACCCUCCUCCGAUUCAGUCACAACACUUAAUACAAUUAUUUUCAGACCUUAAUUUUUGUUUCCCUGCUGCACACUGCUUUUCCAGUGUUCUUGGCUUUUCUUGUCUCUCUCUCUCUCUGAAAAGAGACAGUUAUAUUUAGUAGUGGUAUUGAGAAAUUAUCUUGCUCUGUUGACAUUUUUACUCUGCAAAGCUGAAAGGAACAGUUGUUCGCUUUGAGCAAUUUAGCAAGGCCUGGAAAGCACCCUGGCAGCCCCAUUUCACUCUGGAAGGUUUUAAAAACAAAAAAUAUAAAGCACAGCAGAAUCAAAAAGGGGAACUUUUCCAAAAAGAUACUGUGCUAAGAAGCCAUGUGGCUGAGGAGAAACAAAGCAACGACGAAAGCUGAGAACCAGACACCGCAGAGGUUUAUAAUGCUUCACACCAGUGAUCCC